CGGAAGAGAACGAGGACCCUAAAAAACUAAUCCGCAGUUUCCCAUAACAAAAAAAUGAACCCUCCCUUUAAAGUCCAUCGUCUUCUUCAGCAGAUGCCUGAAAUGAGUUGAAAUACACAAGAUACACAUGAGACCAAAUAUAGAUUCUAAGACCUAAAAAUUAGAGGCUACAACCAAGAAGACCGAAAAAGCUUCUUCAGUGCUUCCUCUAGAGAUAAGGCUGUCGUGAACUUAGAGUUGUAACGCAACAAACUUGCUGCGAAAUAGACCCAGAAACGACCCUGAAGCAGUAGCUAAAUCGCUGCUAAUUCCAUCACGACACAGUACCAAAAUAUUACCAAAAUUCCAGCUGAACAAUCCUCGAAACACAAGCUUUAAGUCGAGUUCGAGGUUGCGGACGAGGUCAAGUUUCCGGCGAGUUCUCUAUUCGCUUCGACCUUUGUAUUCAAGAACCUUUUCCAUAUAAAAAAGGUUUGUUUCCAUCUUCGUACUCUCAUAUGUAAAAGAUCUGUUUUCUUAAUUUUCAUUGUUCUUCCAUCUUGUUACAGCACCUUGGAGAUGUUUGGAUUUUUUUUUCUUUAUUUUAUUGUCUUUUCUUAUUGAUUUUAUUAUCUUGUUACAGUAGCUUUCAUCCUUCAUCUUCUUAUCCUUGAAGUAAAGACAAUUUCAUGUUUUUCUUUAUUUUAUGCUCUUGUUAUGGUAGCUUUUGUAAUACGUAUUAGUUUAGAAGCCAAACUUUAUAUGUUUCUUUCAAAAUGUAGACUCACUUAAAUUGGACCUAAUUGUAUAAUUGAUUCAACGAUUAACUUAAUUAAAGAAAAUUAUGUCUCUGAAUUUGUAUAACUAUCUACGUUCUUGAAUGAGUAUAUUAAUUGUUAGAUUAAUUAAGUUGGCAAGUUAGUGUGGAAUUUGUGAAAAUGAACAUCCUUAGAAAUGUUUUUUUUAGGCACACACUUAAUCUAUCUAUUGCGAUUGUGUACACGUUCGCGUGACAUAAUUACGAUUUUUAAAAAUAAAUUGGGGUAUGCUUUCGCGCAACUUCGACUAAUUUUUCUUAAUAAUAAUAAAGCAUUACUAAUUGUGGACACGUUCGCGUGACAUGAUUUCUAACGCACCAAAUAAAUGGGUACACGUGCGCGUGACCUGUUUCAAUAUAAUCUUCUUAAUUAAAAAGCGGUAAAAAGUAAAUGCACAGAGGUUCUAAAAUGAGUAAUUAGACAAUUUAAUAAGCCAAGUAUUAUCAAAGCGACCGUGCUAGAACCACGAACUCGGGAGUGCCUAACACCUUCUUCCAGGUUAACAGAAUUCCUUACCCGGAUUUCUGGUUCGCGGACUGUUAAACAGAGUCAAUCUUUUCUCGAUUCGAGAUUCUAAACCGGUGACUUGGGACACCAUAAAUCUCCCAGGUGGCGACUCUGAAUUUCAAUAAUUAACCCCAUUUCGAUUAUCCUUUAAUUGGAAAAACUCCCUUGUAUUUAUACCCUUUACGGGUUGUAAGUAAAAAAGGAGGUGUGACAAUCAUUAGUUCCCUAUGGGAUUCGAAUCCGAACUCUUGAAUCAGCUUAUAUUUUCAGCGACUGCUUAGUCCUUUUUAUAAAGCAUAGUUGGACAUGAUCAAAUUUUGGCGCUGUCGCCGGGGAACUAACGGUGUUAUUCGUUACAACUUGAAAGAAUUGCUAGAAUUUUUAGUUUAGAUCAAUUUUCUGUGGUGCUAAAAAUAUUUUCACUGAAAUUUUCACGUUUGAAUUCUUCUGUGCCUCAGGUGCACGCCUAGAAAUUCCUUGAGAACUGGUGAACUAUUUAAAGAUCUCUCAGAUCCCGAGAAAGCAUUUAGUACAUUGAAUCGGGCUAAGAAGAAGGGUAAACAGCUAAACAGAAUGAACAAAUCAAAAAUUAAAAUGGGUGACGUCGAGAACAUCAAUGGGAACAAUAUAAAUAAUCAAGUUGACACAAACAUCAGAGUGGUAGCACCCCUAGUGCCGGAGGCUGUUCUAUAUGAUUGGGCACAACCAACUACUGACAAUAUGGCAACUGCAAUUGCAGUCCCUCUGAUACAAGAUGAGACUUUUCAAAUUACAAACAACAUGUUGCACUUGCUGCAAAACAAAGGGUUGUUCUUCGGGUUUUACAUCGAAGACCUACAUCAACAUCUCAAGAAUUUCCUGUCAAUUUGUGUCACUCAAAGACAACCGAAUAUGACACCCGAAGCAAUCAGAUUGUUUAUUGUUUCCAUUCUCAGUGCCUGGGGAGGCUCAAAUGUGGAUGAAUUUGCUCCCAAUAAUAUCUAUUGCUACAUGGGAGGAACUAGUCAAGCACUUCUUAAACAAGUUUUAUCCACCUAAUAAGACAGCAAGGCGAAUUGAUGUGAUAUUGCAGUUCAUGCAGAAACUAACUGAAACUUUGCAAGAAACUUGGGAAUAGUUUAAGGACAUAUUGGCAAAGUGUCCACACCAUGUCAUCUCGGAUCAGAUGCUAGGACAGAGAUUCUAUAUAUGUUAGGCUGACAGCUUGAAGGCCAAUGUAGAUACUUCAGCCGAGGGUGCAUUCUUGAGCAAAUUAUUCAUUGAGUGUAAGAUUCUUCUUGACAAGAUGGCUUAAAAUCCAAGCUGGAUGAUGAAUACAACACUCACUUUAAUAGUGCAUUUUGUUUCUCUUGACCCAAAAAAUACAAAUGCAGAAAACAUAGCCACUCUCAUGACCCAGAUGAGCUUGUUGACAAAGAAAUUUGAUGCGAUGGGCACGAAACAAGUUCAUAUUAUUGACACAACAAAUGGAGACCUAUGCACUCCCUGCAUAAAUCAAUCGUAUGUUUGCUCAUGGAGUGGAGAGUAACUAGGGCUUCAGAGAAGUCAUGAAUUUUAUAAAUAAUUUUGGGGGUUAAAAGCAUGGUGGACAGUAAUGGGGACCUUAAAAUCAGCAGUACAGACUAACCCAACAACAGUACAAUAGCAAUCCUGGGGGAGAACGACCACAAGUCCAAGUUGUGCCCUAUCAAAGGAAGCAGGGUUACAAUCAACAACCCCAAUAACAGUUGGCUUACCAACAGCCUCAUCAACAGUAGGUGACCAGACAAGACGACAGCUAUAUAAUAGAAAUCAAGGGCAUGCUGCAACAAAUCAUUGGGACAAAUAGAAGGAUGCAAGAAAAGUUAGUCGCACAUGAUUCGACUAUUAAAGGUGUUGAAACUUAGUUAGGCAUGUUGUCCAUGGAUUUAAAUAAUCGCCCACAAGAAACGUUGCCUGCAGACACAAACAUUAAUCCAAAAGAGCAGAACCUGAAUCUGUUAAUGGUAGUGAGUCUUAAGAAUGGAAGGGAUUUGGACAGAAAGCAAGAAUUUGCUAAAUCUAAUAAAUACAUAGAGCCACUUACUCCAGUGCCAUUCGACAUCGAUGAGUCGACGGAGCUCAAAGAGGUUGUAAUUGAACAAGCGCAAGUUGACAAAGGCAAAGAGAAGAAAAUUGAACAACUCCAGAAUAGGUAGUGGAAAAGACACAAAGUCAUGGGCAAAAGCUAAUUCCAUCACCAUUCCCUCAAAGUUUGGCAAAGCAAAAGAAAGAUGAUCAAUAUAGGAAAUUCAUGGAAAUGCUUUAACAAAUUCAAUUAAAUAUUCCACUGAUGGAUACUUUGAGGGAAAUGCCAGGCUAUGCGAAAAUGAUGAAGGAUUUGAUAUCUUAAUAGUUUGAAUUCCAGGACCUAUCUACUGUAACUCUGGCACAAACUUGUAUUGUGGUAGUGACAAGACCUAUGACUCAAAAUGUGUUUAAUCCCGAUAGUUUCACUAUCCCAUGUACAAUUGGAAGUUAUGCUUUUACUAAAGCAUUUUGCGACUUGGGAGCCAGUAUUAACUUGAUGCCCUUAGCAAUCUACACAAAGUUAGCCAUUGGCAGAGCUAGGCCAACCUCAAUGUUGUUGUAACUGGCUAAUCGCACAGUGAAAAAGCCAACAUGAAUCCUGGAUGAUGUGAUCGUCCAAGUGGGGAAGUUUGUAUUUCCUGCUGAUUUUGUGAUUCUUGAUUUCUAGGUUGACGAAGAAAUACUCAUAAUUUUGGGAAGGCCGUUUUUAGCCACUAGAAGAGCAUUGGUUAAUUGUGAGACUAGAGAGUUGAAAAUGAGGUUGAAUAAAGAAGAAAUAAUAUUCAAUGUUCAACAGUUUAUGAGGAGGCCCAAUAAAUUUGCAAAUUGUUCGCUAGUGGAGGCCGUUGAUGUGAUACUACAAGAGGUGGAUGAGACUCUUAAUGUUAGAGACCCAUCAAAAAAUUGUUUGAUAAAUUUGAACGAAGUGGAUAAUGAAAAUUUUGCAAAGUGGAUCAUGGCUCUCAAAAGGCAAGGGUUCUGGAAAAGGAAACCUCAAUUUGAGCUACUAUACUUAGAAGAAAGAUAAACAUCACCUGCAAAGCUACCGAUAGUAGAACCACCAUAGUUAGACCUUAAACCGCUUCCAACUCGCCUCGGGUAUGCUUUCUUAGGGCCUAACUCUAUUUUACCUAUUAUAAUCUCAUCUAGUUUGUUAGCUGUACAGGUAGAACACAUCCUACAGGUGUUACAAGAAUGUAAGACUGCUAUUGGAUGGGCCAAACAAGACAUUAAGGGUAUCAGCCCGGCCUUUUUCAUGCACAAGAUUCUCUUGGAAGAGGGGCACAAACCUUCAAGGGAACAUCAAAGAAGGUUGAACCCUAAUAUGAAGGAAAUGGUAAAGAAGGAAGUGAUUAAGUGGUUGGAUGCGGGCAUUAUCUUCCUAAUUUCGGAUAAAGUCUGGGUAAGCCCAGUCCAAUAUGAUCCGAAGAAAGGUGGAUUGACUAUUUUAUAGAAUGAGAAUAAUGAGUUGAUCUAUACUCGUACAGUCACGGGUUGGAGAAUUUGCAUGGAUUACAGAAUAUUGAACAUGGCCACUCGGAAAGACUAUUUUCCCCUUCCAUUCAUUGACCAAAUAUUGGAUAGGUUGGCAGGGAGGUCUCACUUUUGCUUUUUGGAUGGAUAUUCGGGGUAAAAUCAGAUCACAAUAGCCCUUGAGGAUAGAGAGAAAAUGUCAUUUACUUGUCUGUAUGGCAUUUUUUCCUUUAAGAGAAUGUCGUUUGGCCUAUGCAAUGCACCGACCACUUUCCAGAGGUGUAUGUUUGUCAUUUUCACUGAUAUGGUUGAAGAUAUUAUGGAAGUCUUUAUGGAUGAUUUUUCAGUUGUGGGGAAUUCAUUCGAUGACUAUCUUCACAAUUUGAGAAGAGUGUUGAAAAGUUGUGUGUGGAGACAAACCUGGUGCUGAACUAGGAGAAGUGCCAUUUUAUAGUACAAGAAGGUAUAGUUACAUCGAGUGUCAAUUAAAGGUAUUGAGGUUGACCAUUCUAAGGUUGACAUGAUAGAGAAGCUGCCACCAUCCACUUUAGUCAAGGCAGUAAGAUGUUUCCUUGGGCACACCGGUUUCUACAGGCGAUUUAUAAACGAUUUCUCUAAAAUAGCUAAUCCCUUAUGCAAACUGCUUGAAAAGGAUCACCCCUUUGUGUUUUCUGAUGAUUGCAAGUUAGCAUUUGAGGAGCAGAAGAAGAGACUGGUGACUGCACCAAUCAUCAUAGCACCCGACUGGGAGCAUCUAUUUGAGCUCAUAUGUGAUGCGAGUGACUUAGCUAUAGGAGCAGGUUUGGGUAGUAAAAGGACAAAAUGGUGCAUCAAAUUUACUAUACAAGGAAAAUGCUAAACGGUGCACAACUCAGUUAUACCGUGACUGAGAAAGAGAUGUUGGCUGUGGUGUUUGCAUUCGACAAAUUUAGGUUUUAUUUGAUUGGUUCAAAAGUGAUUAUUUAUACGGACCAUGCAAUACUUAGGUACUUGAUAGCAAAGAAGGAGUCAAAGUCUCACUUGAUCUGGUAGGUUUUUUUGCUACAAGAAUUCGAUUUGGAGAUCCACGAUAGGAAAGGAAAGGAGAACCAAGUGGCAGACUACCUCUCAAGGUUGGAGGGAGCUGAAAAAAAAGUAGAGAUUGAAGAUAUAACAGAGAUAUUCCCGGAUAUAAAAAGAAAGUAGAGGUUGAAGAUAUAAUAGAUACAUUCCCGGAUGAACAAUUACUAGCAGUGGCAAUGAAGGAGACGCCUUGGUAUGCUGAUAUUGCUAACUAUUUGGCAAGCGGUAUUGUACCUUAUGAACUCUCUUCGAUUCAAAAGAAAAAGUUCUUUCGUGGUUGUCGGUCUUAUUACUGGAAUGAACCUUUACUUUUUAAAAUAUAUGUGGAUAACAUGAUCCGGAGGUGUAUCCCCGAGAAAGAUCAAUCUUUUGUUUUGCAGGCUUGCAACGCUUCACCAUAUGGUAGGCACUUUGGAGGAAUUCAGAUAGCAACGAAGGUGUUGGAUUUGGGUUUGUAUUGGCCAUCUCUAUACAAGGAUGCCCAUGCCUGUGUGAAAAUUUGUGAUGAGUGACAAUGAACCAGCAAUAUAUCUCGUUGUCAUGAGAUGUCAAUGACUACCAUUCAAGAGGUGGAAGUGUUUGACGUGUGGGGGAUUGAUUUUAUGGGACCAUUUGUCAGCUCGUAUGGUAACAAGUACAUAUUCGUAGCAGUUGACUAUGUUUCCAAACGGGUUGAAGCAUUGGCUCUUCCAAUAAAUGAUGCCAAGAGAGUGAUAGAAUUUCUAAGAAAAAAUAUUUUCACACGGUUUGUCACUUCGAGAGAUAUAAUCAGUGAUGAUUGAACCCAUUUCUACAAUAUAGCGUUCGUAAGGCUGUUAGAAAAGUAUGUAGUUUUCCAUAAGGUUGCCACACCUUACCACCCGCAAACGAGCGGGCAAGUGGAAGUGUCCAACAGGGAAAUCAAAAUUGUCCUAACCAAGAAACUAAAUGCAACUCGGACUGAUUCGGCAAGGAAGUUGGAUGAUGUGUUAUGGUCUUACAUCACAACACUUAAAACUCCAAUUGGUAUGUCUCUGUACAAGUUGGUAUUUGGAAAAGCAUGCAAUCUUCCGGUGGAGCUCGAGCAUAAAGCCUUAUGGGCACUGUAGCAGUUGAAUUUGGAUAUGGAAACAAUAGGCACAAGUAGAGUUACAGAGUUACAUGAACUUGAGGAGUUUCGGUUCCAGGCAUUCGAGAGUACGAGAUUGUAUAAAGAAAGGAUGAAGAUACAUGAUAAGCACGUUCUAGAUAGGAGCUUCAAACCCAGAGAUCUAGUGUUGUUAUACAACUCAAGAUUGAGAUUAUUUCUGGGUAAGCUGAAAUCUAGAUUGUCGGGACCAUUUAGAGUUGUGCAAGUGUUCCCAAGUGGAGUUAUAGAAAUUGUGGGACAAAGCCGAAUACGUAAUCUAAGCGUACCUCGCAUUGCUUAUCACAAAGGUACAGGGCCCCAUACCCCGCCCUGUGCUAUUUUUUCAUUGCCCCACCCGAUGGCUCGCAGGGUCUAGUGCGCAGCUAUUAGCGCCUGUUGCUGCCUCGUGAAGCUUGGACAUCGCCCCUCAAACCGCCUGGCUAUGUCCAGCGCGGUAACUUUAUCGCGCUUGAUGGAGUCUCGCAUGAAAUUCUUGACGCUCCUCACGUCGCCUCGCGCCAAGGCCCAGGUAAGUGUUUAAUUUAUUUUGUAUUUUCUCUUUUAAACUCCCCCCCCCCAACCCAACCCAAUUACAAUAACCCUAGCUUUAACAUCAAACACACACAUACGCAUUAACAUAAUCUCACUUAACUACCUCGCCACUCUCUCAACCACCAGGUAUAGUCUUAUAUCUCUCCUCCUUUCUUUCUUUUUCUAUGUAAAUUAUAGCGUUGGGUGAUAUGCUCUACAAGGUACAGCAAUGGUGCAAUUGUGCUAAAAUAAUUUCCAAGCCCAAUUACCCCAUAUGUUAUCUUUUGAUUGUUGUAAUGAGUGUUUCACACUCGAUUUCCAAGACAAUUUGGGAGGUUGGAGAAUUCCUUCACAAUAAAGAAACUCACACACAAAUAAUGCUGUCAUGAACCAAAAUCUAGCCUGUCAUGAUGGCGCCAAACGUGGUACUAAGUAAGCCCACACUUCAAAAUAUUUCAAACACCUUGAACAGAAAAUGAGUUAAAGUAGUUUAAAUAAUAAAAGUUCUCAUAAAUAGGAUAGAAAACCCAAAACUCAAUGCGGAAGUUCCCCAAAAAUCGGGGUGUCACAGAGUACAUGAGCGUCUAUACAACACAAGUACGCUCAAGCUGUGCAAGAAAUCAACACCCACUGUGUCCAUAAACACCUGGAUCUGCACACGAAAGGUAGGGUGUAGCGUAUGUACAACCAACUCAAUAAGUAACAAGACUAAAUAAUGGGCUGAAAGUAGUGACGAGCUUCAUGGAUAUAGUUCAAUUAUAGAAAUUACAACAUGGGAAGAUAGGCAUGCUUUGAAGUUUGGCACUUAAGGCCAAAGCAGUUAAUUCAUGUCCAGUUCUGUUGAAAUAGGAUAUAAUAUCUUUUAGAAACUUCAUGACAGUGAUAUAUGCCAGUUGAAGUACAACAGUAAUGGAAUUAAAUGAAUAAUCUUAGAGCAACAGUCAUUCAGUCCUCCCAUACACUCCAACCUCACAGUCACUCAUUCCACUCAGUAGCUCGGCACUUCGCACUCACACUCAGUAGGUACAUGUGCUCACUGGGGGGGUGUGUAUAGACGAGGGAAGGGCUCCUUCAGCCCAAGCAUUAUAAAAAGAAUUUCAUGGCAUAAAUCAAUGAAACAUGUUGCAGCCCGAUCCCAUAAAUAUACUCACAAUCAAGUGCUCGGCCUCGCUUAGUCAUCAACAUCUCCAGUCUCUAAGGCUCUCAGUAAUCAUAAAAAUCAGCUCAAACAUAAAUGAUAUAAUGUAUCAACAAUGAACAAUAGAGACUGAGAUAUGAUAUGCAAGUAAAACUGAGACUGAGUACAAAACAACAGUUAGUGGAUAAUUUAACAUGUACACUACCUCUGAGAGACCCUACAAUACCAAUGCAUGGCCUAAACAUUAUUUCUAACAGGAUUUGUAGCUCAAUUUGUCAAUCACAUGAAGAAUUUACAGAUAACAACAGAUUAUUCAUCUAUACAGCUCCAUGGAAUGGACCAAAUCAAAAUUCCUACGAUACACGCCCACACGCCCGUCACCUAGCAUGUGUGUCACCUCAAAACCAAUCACAAGACACGUAGUAUGGGAUUUUAUACCAUCAGAACUAAAUUUAAAAUUGUUACUUACCUUAAGUCGUGCAAUCCUCUACUCCUAACACACCCCUGCCUCAUGAAACGGCCUCCAAAUGCCUCGAAUCUAGUCACAAAUAGUUAGAUUCAAUCAACAUGGGCUAAAAUAAUCAAUUCUAUAAGAAAAUACUAACUCUUAAUCAAAAGUCAAAAGGUCAAUUCAAGAGUUUCCCCCCCCCCACCCACCCGGCACAUGUCUCAAAAUCUGAUAAAAGUCACAAAACCGAAAGGCCAUUUAACAACGAGUCCAAGCAUACCAAAUUUACCAAAAUCCAACACCAUAUUGCCACUCAAAUCUCCCAAUCAAACUCUCUAAAUCCCUAGCCUCAAACUCCUAAUUUACACCUCAAAACCACACAAUCUAGGUGGAAAUAUCAAUGGGGAAACAAGAUUAUUGAAUAAAAAUGAGCACAGUGACUUACCUCAAGAAUCCCCUCGGAAAUAUUCUAAAGUCGCCCAAUCCUGAGCUUGAAAUGUUAAAAAUGGUAAAAAAACAACAUGGAACCCUCAUUUUUAAUACACUACCAUGUUUUCUCGCACCUGCGGCCACUUAUCCGCUUCUGCGGUAUCGCAGAAGCGACCACUCUUCUGCUUCUGCGGUUUCCUCCACUUUUGUGGCCCAUGCUUCGGCUCCUGCGACCACCAAGCCACUUCUAUGGACCCAGCUCUCAUCUCCAUUUCUGCUUCUGUGCUCCCAUCGUCGCACCUGCGGCCACACAGGUGCGGUAAUUCCUUCGCACCUACGGCUACACAGGUGCGGUAAUUCCCUCGCACCUGCUACCACUUCACACUCCCGUCCAAAAUCGCAUCUGUGCAACACAGCCUGCACAUGCGAGAUCGAACAUGCGAUCAAAGCUCUACUGGUGCGAUUACACCAGUAGACUCCGAGCUUCAACAAUGCACUAAGUCUUAUUUUUUAUCUAUUAACCUUCUGAAAUCAACCCGAGGCCCCCGAGACCUCAACUAAACAUACCAACAAGUCCUAAAACACGAUACGAACUUAGUCAAACCCUCAAAUCAAAUCAAAUAACGUCAAAAACAUGAAUCGCACCCCAAUUCAAACCUAUAGAAACUAAGGAAAUUCCAAAUUCUACAAAUGAUGCUGAAACCUAUCAAAUCAUGUCUGAUUGACCCCAAAUUUUGCACAUGUCGCCAACGACACCACGGACCUACUACAACUCCCGAAACUCCAAUCUAAGCUCGGUAUCUACAAAGUCCACUCUUGUUCAAACUUUCAAAUUCCACAUUUUGUCAUUUUAAGCCUAAUUCCACUAUGGACUUCCAAAUCAUAAUCCGGACAUGCUCCUAAGUCCAAGAUCACUCAACAGAGCUAACGUAACCAUCAAAACUCCAUUCAGGAGUCGGUUACACAUAAGUUAACAUCUGGUCAACCACUUCAAAUUAAGCUUUCAACCUUGAGACUAAAUGUCUCAAUUCAUUCCAAAAUAUCUCCGGACCCACACCAACUGCCCCGACAAGUCACAUAGAAGCUAUAAAGCAUAAAAUGAGCAGUAAAUGGGGAAACAGGGCUAUAACUCUCGAAAUGACUGGCCGGGUCAUUACAUCCUCCCCCUCUUAAACAAACUUUCAUCCUUGAAUGGGUCUAGAAACAUACCUGGAGUCUCAAAUAGGUGUGGAUAUCAGCUCCGCACCUCCUGCUCGUUCUUCCAAGUAGCCUCCUUAACUCGCCGACCUCUUCACUGCACUUUCACUGAAGCUAUAUCCUUUGACCUCAACUUUCUAACCCGACGACCCAAAAUGGCCACCGGCUCCACAUCGUAAGUCAAAUCACCAUCUAACCGAACCGUGCUAAAAUCCAAAACAUAAUACGGAUCACCAACAUACUUCUGGAUCAUAUAAAUAUGAAAUACUGGAUGCACACUCGACAGACUAGGUGGCUAGGCAAGCUUGUAAGCCACCUACUCAAUCCAUUGAAGCACCUCAAACGGCCCAAUAUACCGAGGGCUCAACUUGCCCUUCUUCCAGAACUUCAUAACACCCUUUAUGGGUAAAACCUUGAGCAGUACCUUCUCGCCAACCAUGUAAGAAACAUCAUGAACCUUCCUAUUGGUGUAACUCUUCUGCCAAGAUUGCGCCAUGCAAAGCCGAUCCUAAAUCAAUUUAACCUUAUUCAAAGCAUCUUGAAUCAAGUCAGUACCCAAUAGCCUAGCCUCACCCGGCCCAAACCAACCCACCGUAGAUCAACACUGUCUCCCAUACAAAGCCUCAUAUAUAGCCAUCUGAAUGCUUGAUUGGUAGCUGUUGUUGUAGAUAAACUCCAUGAGCGGCAGAAACUGAUCCCAUAAACCCCCAAAAUCAAUGACAAAAAUGCCUAGCAUGUCCUCUAAUAUCUGAAUAGUGCGCUCAAACUAUCUGUCCGUCUGAGGGUGAAAUGUAGUGCUCAACUCAACCUGGGUGUCCAACUCUCGUUGCAUUGCUCUCCGAAACUACGAGGUAAACUGUAUGCCCCGGUCUAAAAUGAUGAACACUGGCACACCGCGAAGGCAAACAAUCUCGUGGAUGUAAGUCUCAGCCAACCACUCCAAAUAAUAAGUAAUACCAAUUGGAAUGAAGUGUGCGGACUUCGUCAGCCGAUCCACAAUCACCCAAAUAACAUCUCACUUCCUCGAAGUCCGUGGGAGCCCAACUAUAAAAUCCAUGGUAAUCUGCUCCCAUUUCUAUUGUGGAAUCUCAAGCCUCUAAAGCAAUAUACCCUGUCUUUGAUGCUCAUACUUCACCUGCUGAUAGUUUAGGCACCGAGCUACAAACCCCACUGUAUCCUUCUUCAUUCUUCUCCACCAAUAGUGUUGCCUCAAGUCCUGGUACAUCUUCGUGGCCCCCGGAUGGAUGGAAUACUGUGAACUGUAGGUUUGCUCAAGAAUCAACUCACAUAAUCCAUCUACAUUGGGCACACAUAUCCGGCCUUGCAUCCUCAAUAAGCCAUCAUCCCCAAUAUUAACAUCUCUAGCAUCACCAUGCUGAACCUUGUCCUAAAGGACAAGAAAAUGAGGAUCAUCAUAUUGGCUCUCUCUGAUGUGAACAUAUAAGUAAGACCAAGAAACCACACAAGUUAAAACCCGACUAGGCUCCGAAACAUUUAAUCUCAUGAACUGGUAGGCCAAGGCCUGAACAUCAACUGCAAGAUGUCUCUUACCAACAUGAAUGAAUUUAAGGCUAUCCAUACUCACGGCCUUUCUACUCAAGGCAUCGGCCACCACAUUGGCCUUUCCAGGGAUGAUACAGAAUCGUAAUAUCAUGGUCUUUUAGCAGCUCCAACCAUCUACAUUGUCUUAAAUUUAGAUCGUUUUGUUUGGAAAAGUGAUGGAGACUCUGAUGAUCUAUAAAUACCUCACAAGACACAUCAUGGAGAUAAUGCCUCCAAAUCUUCAAUGCAUGAACGAUGGUAGCGAACUCCAAAUCAUAAACAGGGUAGUUCUUCUCAUGGGGCUUCAACUAGCGUUAAGCACAAACAAUCACUCUACCUUCCUGCAUCAACACAUACCAAAUAUCAAUCGGAGAAGCAUCACAAUACACUUUAUAAGAGCCUGAAGCUGAAGGCAAAACUAGAAUUGGAGUCGUGGUCAAGGUAGUCUCGAGCUUCUGAAAGCUCUCCUCACACUCAUCCAACCACCUAAAAAGAGCACCAUUUUAGGUCAAUUUGGUCAAAGGAGAUGCAAUAGAUGAGAAACACUCCAUGAAGCGACAAUAAUAACCGGGCAAACCAAGAAAGCUCCAAAUCUCUGUAGCUGGGGACGAUCUGGGCCAACUCGAAACCGCCUCUAUCUUCUUUGGAUCUACCGGAAUCCCCUUACUAUACACCAUGUUCCCUAAGAAUGCCACUAAACUAAGCCAAAAAUCACAUUUGGAGAACUUGGCAUAAAACUUCUCCUCUUUCAACCAUUGCAACACAAUCCUCAAAUGCUAGGCAUGCUCCUCCUAUCUACCGAGAGUACACCAGGAUAUCAUCAAUGAAUACUAUGACAAACGAGCCGAGUAAUGCUGAAAUACAUUGUUCAUCAGAUACAUGAAUGUUGUUGGGGCAUUGGUCAGCCCAAAAGACAUCACAAAGAACUCAUAAUGACCAUAACGGUUCCUAAAUAUUGUCUUUAGGAUAUACAAGUCCUGAAUCUUUAAAUGGUGAUACCUAGACCUCAAAUCAAUCUUAGAGAACACCCUCGCUCCCUGAAGCUGGUCAAAUAGAUAAUCAAUACGCGGCAAAGGAUACUUGUUCUUGAUUGUAACUUUGUUCAACUACCUAUACUCGAUGCAUAUCUGCAUCGUACCAUAGUUCUUCUUCACAAACAGAACUGGGGCACCCGAAGACAAUACAUUAGGCCUAAUAAACCACUCAUCAAGAAGUUCUUGAAGUUUCUCUUUCAUUUCCUUCAACUAAACUGGUGUCAUACGAUACGGAGGAAUAGAAAUGGGCUGGGUGCCCCGCACCAAGCCAAUACCAAAGUCAAUAUCCCUGUCGUGCGGCAUGCCCGGCAGCUCUGCAGGAAACACAUCCAGGAAAUAUCGCACCACCAGAACAGACUCAAUAGUAUGAGUAUCAGCACCAACAUCCCUCACAAAGGCCAAAUAAUACAGACAUCCCUUCCCAAUCAUCUUUUGGGCCUUCAAAUAUGAAACUACUCUACUAGGAAUAUAAUCUAGAGAACCUCUCGACUCGAUCCUUAGCAACUCUAACAUUGCCAACGUCACGGUCUUAGCGUGAUAAUCCAGCAUAGCAUGACAUGGAGACAACUAAUCCAUACCCAAGAUCACGUCGAAAUCAACCAUACUAAGCAACAAGAGAUCAACUCUAGUCUCCAAUCCCCCAAUAGUCACUACACCUGACCGAUAUACACGGUCCAUAAUAAUAGUAUCGCCUAGUGGCGUAGAUACAAAAAGAGAUGAAACUAAGGACUCUUGAGGUAUAUCUAGAUAAUGAGCAAAAUACGAUAAUACAUACAAAUAAGUGGAACCAGGGUUAAAUAAUACAGAAGCAUCCAUGUGACAUAUUGAGACAAUACCUAUGAUCACUGCAUUUGAAGCAACAAUAUUUGUCCUGGCAGGAAUAGCAUAGAAUCAGGCCUGACCUCCACCUGAUCGGCAUCCCCCUCUCGCGCUACCUCUAGCUGACUAGGCCCUACCCCGAGCUGGCUAGGCAGGUGGUGAAAUAAUUGGUACAGAAGUCGCAGCCUGACUCCUCUGCUGCACUAGACCACCCGAGCGACGAGGACACUGCCUCCACAUAUACCAAACUCCUUGCACCCGAAGAAAAUCCCCAAUGCUGGUGGUGGGGAUAGAAAAGAGCCCCGAGCAUCGGGAUAACUAUUAGAAGGACCAAACAUAGAUGAACCCUAAACCAAUGUAGCACAAGACAAAUUUUGAGCUGGAAAGGCACUAAAAGAUGACUGACCCUAAUGAGCACUGUAUGAACCAUGGUUGGAUGGUGCACCAUGGUGAACAGGACGAACCAUUUGAGCAUACGUAUAAGGACGACCCCUGUUGUGGUAGAAUUGACCCCCAGAAGGAACACCACUGAAACCACCCAAUCCAUGAGGCUUCUUGGCCUCCCUCUCCCCACGCUCCUAGCUAUGGACCAUCUUUAUCUGCCGAGCAAUAUCAACCACUUCGUCGAAAGUAGCACCAAAUACCAUCUCCUGAGUCAUAAGCAACUACAUCUGAUAUGUCAUACCAUCAAUGAACCUCCUAAUCCUCUCCCUAUCAGCGUGAACCAACCAAACUACGUGACGAGCCAACUUUGAAAACCUCCUAUCGUACUGAGUCACAGACAUGCCCUCUUGACGUAUCUUCUCAAACUAUUUUUGCGCAGCUCCUCCCUGCGAGACUGCUGCAUGAACUUCUCCAAGAAGAUUACGUAGAACUCCUGCCAUGAAAGUGGUGUUGCACCGACUAGCUUGCGCCUCUCAUAAGCCUCCCACCAUUUGAAGGAAGCUAUAGUAAACUGAAAAGUAGGGAAUGAGACCCCACUAGUCUCUAGAAUACUUGCCAUGCGAAGUAUUCACUGGCACUAAUCUAAGAAGCCUUGGGAACCUCUAACUCAGCCCCGCUAAAUGAUGGAGGCUGAAGCCUCCCAAAUCUCUCGAGUCUCCUCUACUCAUCAUCAGUCAUAAUGGGAACCACGUAGGCCUGAAUAGCUACAACUGGCUGAGCUGGUCGUCCCCCCAGCAUCUGAAGUACCUGCAUCACCUGCUCUAGAGUACAAGCAAUAAGAGUUUGAGUACUUCUCCAGGCCUAAGAAGUGGUUGUUGCGGCCGGAACUGAGACCGUCUGAGCAAGGCCAGUGCACACAUUCAAAAUCUCAGCCAAAGCCUCCUGAAGGCCUGGAAUCACAAUAGGCACAGAAGGUGCCUGAGCUUGCCCUACUGGCCCAUCCACAUUUGGAACUUGCUCCUGAGCUGGGGCAACUGGCGGAUCUGUAGGUGUUGCUCCAACUGUUGUACAAGUUGCACUUUGGGCCCUACCACGACCUCAGCCUCUCGCGGCCCUAGUUGUUGUUACUAGUGGUUGUUCGUCCUGUCCAAUAGCAUGUGUCCUCACCAUCUGUGAGAGAAUAGGAUAACCAAAGUUUAGUUACCGAAACCAACAAAUCCGCACUACAAGAAUACAAGAAUGUGAAGUUUUCGAAGUGUUGGGCAGCCUCUCGAAAAUUAGUACAAACAUCUCCGUACUGAUCCGUAAGACUCUACUAAACCUACCCAUGACUCGUGAGACCUACGUAACCUAGGCUCUGAUACCAACUUGUCACACACCAAAACCUAACCAGUUGUAACGGCGCCUAACGUGGUACUAGGCAAGCCGACACUUCCAAAUAUUUCUAAUACUUUGAACAAAAAAUGAGUUAAAGUAGUUUAAAUAAUAAAAUUUCUCAUAAAUAGGAUAGAAAACACAAUACUCAAUACAGAAGUUCCCCAAAGAAUUGGGGUAUCAUAGAGUACAUGAGCGUCUAUACAACAAAAGUACAAAAAUACUGUCUCUGAAGACUAAAACUAAUAACAUAAGAAGCUGAAAGAUAUGGAAAGAAAGACAAGGUCUACGAACACCAGGAAGCUACCUUGGAAUGUCCAAACAAUCAAGGUGUGCAAGAAUCAACACCCACCGUGUCCAAAAACACCUGGAUGCACAUGAAGUGCAGGGUAUAACGUGAGUACAACCAACUCAGUAAGUAACAAGACUAAAUAAUGGAUUGAAAGUAGUGAUGAGCUUCACGAAUAUAUUACAAUUAUAGAAAUUACAACACGGGAAGGUAGGCAUGCUUUCAAGUUCGACAAUUAAGGCCAAGUCAGUUAAUUCAUGUCAAGUUUAGUGGAAACAGGAUAAUAAUGUCUUUUACAAUUGUCAUGACAAUGAUAUAUGCUAGCUGGAGUACAACAGUAAUUGAAUCAACUGCAUAAUCUCAAAGCAACAAUGACUCAGUCCUCCCAUACACUUCAAACUUACAGUCACUCAUUCCUCUUAGUCGCUCGGCACUCGACUCGCACUCAGUAGGUACAAGCGCUCACUGGGAGUAUGUACAGACUCGGGAGGGGAUUAUUCAGCCCAAGCUCUAUAACAAGCCUUUCAUAGCAUAAAUCAAUGAAAUAUGUUGCAGCGUGCAACCCAAUCCCAUAAAUAUCCUCAAAAUCAGGCCCUGGGCCUCACUCAGUCAUCAACCUCUCCAGUCUCUCAGGCUCUUAGUAAUCACAAAAAUCGGCUCAAACAGAAAUUAUAUAUUAUGUCAACAAAGAACAAUAGAGACUGAGAUAUGAUAUGCAAAUAAAACUAAUACUGAGUACAAAACAAUAAUUAGUAGAUAAUUUAACAUAUAUACGACCUAUGAGAGUCCCUACAGUAACAACACAUGGACUAAACAUGAUUUCUAACAGGAUUUGCAGCUCAAUUUCUAUAACACAUGAAGAAUUUACGGUUAACAACAACUUAUUCAUCUAUACAGUUCAAUGGAAUGGACCAAGUCAAAAUUCCUACGGUACAUGCCCACACGCCCGUCACCUAGUAUAUGCGUCACCUCAACACCAAUCACUAGACACGUUGUACGGGGUUUCAUACCCUCAUAACCAACUUUAGAAUUGUUACUUACUUUAAGCCUUGCAAUCCUCUACUCCAACACACCCUUGCCUCAUGAAACAACCUCUGAAUGCCUCGAAUCUAGUCACAAAUAGUUCGAUACAAUCAACAUAGGCUAAAAGAAUAAAUUCCAUAAGAAAAUACUAAAUCUUAAUCAAAAUUCAAAACAUCAACUCAAUAGCCGACCCUCAGGCCCACGUCUCCAAAUCUAAUAAAAGUCACAAAACUCGAAAGCCCAUUCAAAUAUAGGUCUAACCAUACCAAAUUUACCAAAAUUUGACGCCAAAUCACCGCUAAAAUCCCCAAAUCCCUUGCCUCAAACUACCAAUUUACAUCUCAAAACCACACAAUCUAGGUGGGAAAAUCAACGGGGAAACAAUAUUAUUUAAUAAAAAUGAGCACAAGUGACUAACCUCAUGAAUCCCCUCGAAAAUAUUCUCAAAAGUCGCCCAAUCCCGAGCUUGAAAUGUUAAAAAUGGUGAAAAACACAGAACCCUCAUUUUUAAUACACUGCCCAAGUCUUCUCGCACCUGCGACCACUUACCCUCUUCCGCGAUGUAGCAAAAGCGAUAACUCUUCUGCUUCUACGGAGUCGCUUAUGUGAGCCACCAACCCGCUUCUGUUGAUCCAGCUCCCAUCUCCAUUUCUGCCUCUAUGGUCCCUUCGCCGCACCUGUGACCACUACACACUUCCCUCCAAAAUUGCAUUUGCAUAACAUAGCCCGCACCUGUGAGCUCGCACCUUCUAUCAAAGCUCUGAAUGUGUGAUUACACCAGCAGACUCCAAGCUUCAGCAAUGCACUAAGUCUCAUUUUCGAUUUGUUAACCAUCCGAAAUCAUACCGAGGCCCCCAGGACCUCAACUAACCAUACCAACAAGUCCUAAAUAUGAUACGAACUUAUUCAAGCCCUCAAAUUACAUCAAACAACAUCAAAAUCACGAAUCGCACCCCAAUUCAAGCCUAUUGAAACUAAGGAAAUUCCAACUCCUAAAAGCGAUGCUGAAACCUAUCAAAUUACGUCUGAUUGACAAUAAAUUUUGCACACAAGUCGCAAAUGACACCGCGGGCCUACUCCAACUCCCAAAACUCCAAUCUGAGCCUGGUAUCCCCAAAGUCCAUUCUCGGUCAAACUUCCCAAUUCCACAUUUCGCCAUUUUAAGCCUAAUUCCACUAUAGAUAUCCAAAUCACAAUCCAGACAUGCUCUUAAGUCCAAGAUCACCCAACAGAGCUAAGGGAACUAUCAAAACUCCAUUUCGAAGUUGUUUACACAUAAUUUAAUAUCCGUUCAAUCAUUUCAACUUAAGCUUUCAACCUUGAGACUAAGUGUCUCAAUUCAUUCCAAAAUCUCUCCGAACCCGAACCAACUACCCCGAAAAGUCACAUAGCAAUUAUAAAGCAUAUAAUUAGUAGUAAAUAGAGGAACAUGGCUGCAACUCUCGAAACAACUGGUCGGGUCGAUACAUAUGCAUACAAAGUGUUCGAUAAAAUUCCUCAUUGGUGAUAUUAGUCCCAAUUAUAGCCCGAGUCUCUAGGAUUAAUUGUUUUAUGUUAGGUAAGCAUGAUUGAUAUGAAAAACUAAGUGUGGGGUGACUCUAUGAAUGAUAAAGUGAGUUGGCAAUGACAUAUGAGCUAUAUAUAGUGCCAAAAUUGAGAUGCUAAUACACUUACUUGAUAAAGGCGAAGCCGGAGUAGCCUAUUUUUUAAAGUAAUUAGCAUAUCUUAGAGCUUUAAGUGUGGGGUCACUCCUACCUUAUUUUUGUGAUAGUUGUUGUUUGCUUACAUUGACAAUUGGUAUGAUUGACAGGUACGUGCAAUAUGGUUCCUCCAAUAGCUAGUUCUAAGCCACCAGCUAAGGCCAAGGCUCCGCCAAAGGAAAAGGCUACCUCUUCAGGUCCACCACCAAAUAAAAGGACCAGAGCUGGGGCUACGUCUGGUAGUCACAGUGGUAAAGGAAAGCAAGUAACUUCUUCUUCUACCGGGGCACAACCUCAAGAGAGAGUGACUCUUGAGUAUGGCAUCAAAAGUGUGCCCCCAUCUGGGAGAGCAUUUUACAGUAAUUGUCGCCCAAACUCAUAUCUCCCUGAUUUUGCAGUUAAUGAGCACAAAUUGAUGUCCCGUUACCCUCAGAUUUGGGAAAGAAUACAUGAACUAGGACUGGGUUUUGUAUUUAAAAAUCAGGGAGAGGCAAACUUUAGCUUAGUGCGUGAGUUCUAUUCCGGGUGGAACCUUGAGCAAUUGGUACUUAUUCGUGGGAGGUUGAUUGAUAUUUCGGCUAGUGCACUAUGUAGAUUUUUGGAUGCCCCUAAUGUCCCAUGUAGUCCGUUGUGUGACUUUAUUUAUUGGCCUGCUUACAGAGAUAUUAGGCAUAAAUUGUGUGGUGUUAAUUCGAAUGCAGUAUGGACACAGGACAAAAGUACAACACCCGUACUUCUUUGCCUAAAGUGAAGUUUACAAAAAAUACUAAAGUGUGGUUGCGUUUGAUGAAUACGAGACUACUUCCAUGUGAUCAUGAUUCUGCUGUUGUCCGAGAGAGAGUAUGUAUAGUGUAUUUCUUGAUGAAAGGGUGGCCAAUGAAUGUGGGCUAGUUGAUACGCAGUCAGAUGGCACAAUCUAAAAAGGGCACGCUUACUAGGAUAAUCUUUAUGAAUCUGCUUGCACAAUAUUUGAGUAAAUAGCAAGUGGAUGAGGGGGCCAAGUUUGACAUGUUGAUUCCAGCCACAUCUCGAGCUACCGACAUUACUGUUAUCUGUGGGCCAAAUGAGGAAGAUGGUACGACAUUGACUACAAUGGAGCGUCAGGCUCGCGAUGAGAGCGUCCUGGCUUAUUUGUAUGGGAUGAUGGAUUUGCAGUUGAGGAUUGGGGGUAGACCUGUUACUUCAGAGGAGAGGACUCAGUUGACUGAGCGGUUCCCGAUCACCACACUGGCACAACGAUUAGUUGGUUUAGCUUCGGGUCAGGGGGUGCCACCAAAAGAAGAUAUCAAUACUCCAGAGUAUUCGGUACAAGGUGACGAGGAACAGGUUGAGCCAGCGGUCGAUGCCACUAUUGUGGAUCUGGGUGAUGAUGUUGAUGAUUGGGAUGAAGCUAACCAGGCCUUCUUCAAUGAGGGCCAUCGUCUUGAGGAUUGAUUAGGGAGUUCUUAUUCGCCCUUUCUACUUUAAUUAUGCAUUGGGGACACUGUAUAUUUUAAGUGUGAGGUGGGUAACUCUUAUUGUCACACCCCUUUAUAACCAACUAGCCAACCCCCUUAAAUUAAUAAAGAGAUUUCACAAAGCUCGAAAGGGUUUUUAAUUAAAAAGUGACAAAAAUUGUGUUCAAAAAGAAAUAACUCAAAGUCGCCACCUGACAUUGGUUUUGGUGUGCCAGGUCAUUGUUUUUUAAAAAUGAUUUUCCUUUUAAAAUACUUUGGACUCCAAAAUAAGUCCGCACUAUAGAUUCGGGUAAGGGGGUUCAUUUGACUCGGGAAGAAGGUGUUAGACACUCCCCAAGAUCCGUAACUAGUACGGUUGCGCACAUGAUCAAGUUAGCUUUAAAGGAUAUUCUAUUUGAGGCAGACACAAAAAUAAAAUAAACACACAAGAGGCUAGAGGUCGUCCCACCUAAAAAAAGAGAUAAAAAAAUAAAAUAGUAAAGUUCUAUUCUAUGCUUCCUCACAUCAUCCAAUCUCCGUCCUUCAUUUACAUGUACCUCGGGGCAUACCCCGGAUAAUAAAAUAUAUACAAAUCCUUUGGGCAUUCCCCGGAUAAAUUAGGGGCAACCUCUUACCUCAAAACCAAAAUUAAAAAAAAUCUUAAGGCUUACCUACCGAAACGUGGUCGGCCUAAACAUGCAUACGUCUAUCGGGGAUGUGAAAAAAGGUAAAUAAAAUAAUAACAUGAUAACCCCAAGCUUAUCUUCAAUUUUGGUGCCAAACCACAUUUGUUUUGCUUUUGCCCAACCCAUGCCAUCUAUGUUUCUAAUCAAAUUUCUUUCAUGAAGCUAUGCCAAUUUUUCAUUGUACAGUGAUGUUCAAAACACUCCAAAAACACAAAUGUUUCCAUUAGUAACCAAAUGAUAACAAAUUCAUUUUUUAACUUCCAAUUUAAUUCCCCGACAUCAACUCACAAAUAAAUCAUAUAGUCCGCAUAGCUUUUCAGAUCCAAUUUAGUCACUAGGUCAUAUCACAUUAUUAAGGAUUUAGCGAAUUGGGAAAUUAUGGAUCAAAAAGAAGUUCAGCAACCAAACCAAACCAAAUGAAGCGGAUUACAAAUAGAGAACAAACAAACAGUAUUCAUUUCAAUUAAUCAUCAAAAAAGGCCAAUUAAAGUAAGAAUUGAAAGCAAGCACAUAACACUCAAGUGAGGUAGAUCUAGAUCAAGUGAAGAGCAAGGAAAGGAUGGGCCUCAAUUAAAGUAAAAACUUCUCCAAUUUUAAUUAGAAUUUCCAGCAAGACGAACAGCAAAUGAUCCGCUCCAAUUGUUAGAGCAGCAGUGAACUCGAAUUAAACUACGACUGAACCGCGGCCGGACCUCGGAUCCGUAACCUCGAGCGAAAACGCACUGCCUUGAUUGAUUUGGAAUCGAGUCUUUCCCUCUAUUUUGAUCAGAACUCAAAAAUAUAGCAAAGGGUAGAGAAAACUGGAAUAAGAAAAUGGAAAGAGGCUUUGAAAAUUAAAACGUGUGUUUGAGAGUGAAUAGCAUUAAAUUGAAGCCCAAAGACCACUUUCACUUUAUUUUUUCUUUUCAAGCUUCCACUUAGUACUCCCUGACAUUGUUGUAUAUCCAAUCUAGCAUAAGACACAAACCAUGAUUUCCCCUUGAGAACCUUUAGAAAGAGGAGAAGGAAGUGAUAAAACAAAACAACUAUAUUAGUAUUUUCCAAUUUCUUGAAAGGUAAUAUAAACUAAAAGCAACUAAACAAAGUACCUAUUAGCUAAAAUGGAGGAAAAUAUUUUUGUAGUUUUUAUUUUACGAGAAAAUAGAGCUAAAAGGUUAACUAUAUGCAAAGUAUCAAUAUUAGAACUAAAAGAAAUAUAUAAGCAUCAAAAAGGUGUAAACUUUGGGGAGGGUCAAAAAUUACAUGUCUACACUCAUUGUGCAUAGUAGGAAUAGAUUAGUAAACAUAUUAGCUUCUUAUAUUUUUAAUUUCUAGCUUCUUAUUUUCGUUAUUUUUAGCUUCUUCCUUUAUUAUUUGAGGAUACUCCGGGAUAGUAUUGAGUACUGUAGUAGUUUUUAUUUUUUUAUUUUAUUUUAUUUUCGAAAAAAUAGAAAAAUAGAAAAACAGAAAAAAUGGACUUUUCCCGACGAUGGAUCUCCUAGACAGUUAUCUUGAGGGAUUAAAGUCUAAAAAAACAAAAUACAAAAAAAUUUCAAAAUAGAAAAAUACAAAAACAUGUCUUUUUUUUGUAUCAUUCUUAGAUUGUAAUAAUCCCCUGUGGUUUUUUUCGUGCCUCGGUUCUUUUCCACGGGAUAUAACUUGAACCGGGUAGUAGUUUUUUGUUUUAGAGUAGUAUGUAGGAAAUAAAAGAGAAGAACUGAUAUAAUUCGCACCUUUUGACUUGUUUGACGGUUGCAUACUUAGGUUUUGGCAUGUGUUUCGCCUUCACUUGAUUUUAAAUAUAUGAUGAAGCAUUGGUAAAAAGGAAUAGCAUGUGUUAUGACUCUUAUGUCUCAUUUGCUUGACUUGUGUUCACUUUUUACUUUAUGCUUAAUAUAUCUCUUGGCGUUGUGAAUACUUGUUUGAUUGAGAGCCUGAAUGAAACCGUCCUUAGGGAGUUGUUCCUGUAUUGGAUGUUUUAAAAUUUGGCAUAAGUAUGAGAAUUGUAUUUUGACAGCAUAUGCUAUAGCUUAAUUGUUGCUACCACACAUGGGCAUAGGUGUAGUGUGUUGUAAAUGUGUUGCUUGUUGGGUCCUUGAAAAGGAAGUGUUUAGUUAGUUGACUCGAGGGCGAGCAACAUUUAAGUGUGGGGUGUUGAUGUCGUGCGAUAAUUCCAUAUAUUCUAACGUCAUUUACCCUACUUGUUUGUUGUUUGGAUGGUAAUUUGUGCGACAACUAUGCUUAAUAGAGUUUAUUUCACGUGUAGGAAUGCUUGGACAUGAAUUGGAGAAAAGUUGCACGAAAUGGUACUUCAUAGCUACAAAAUGGAGCAAUAAAAAAAGACGUGCAAGGCAAUGAAAAGUCAUGGCCAUAUACAGUGCAAGGCAUUAUCCAGGGCAUUAUCAUGGGCGCCCCAGACAGUGUCUCACGUAGAAACAAGGGCGCCAUAGACACUACCUCGCGCAGAAAUAUUGGUGCCCCAGACAGUGCCUCACGUCGACGAUGCCAUCCGAGCAACUUUUAAUUCCUCACUAGUUUUUGACAUGUAAACUUUCCCCUACCUAUAAAUACAUCUUAAAGUUAGUUUUUGAAGGGAGAGACAUCAUUAGAGAGGCAAGAGGCUACAGAAUACUUUAGAAGCACGAAUCACUUGAGUUUUUCUCUCCGCUUUCCUUUUAUUUGUACUUUAAUGUUCUUAGAUAGUAUUAUAAUUAUCUACCCAAUUAUUAGUAGCUAAACCCG
This 23747-nucleotide long non-coding RNA is filed under the name Nicotiana tabacum (common tobacco). Its description in RNAcentral is "long non-coding RNA (NTAB_LNC014106)". Lineage: Eukaryota; Viridiplantae; Streptophyta; Magnoliopsida; Solanales; Solanaceae. The record is from RNAcentral.